CCGAGAGGAUCCAAGGCUCAAAAGGCCACGGCUGCACAUUUCUUUCUUUCUUUUCUUUGCCCUUUUAAUUUUAUUUUUUAUUUAUUUUAUUUAUUUUUUAUUUUAGUUUUAAUCAGUUGUACAUGACAGCAGAAUGCUCCUGUAUUCAUUGUACAUAAAUGGAGCAGAAUUUUUCACUUCUCUGGUUGUACAUGAUGUAGAGUCACACUAUUCGCACAAUCAUACACGUACCUGGGGUAAUGAUGUCGGUCUCCUUCUGCCAUCUUUCCUGAUCCCAUGCCCCCUGCCCCGCCUGUGCCCCAUCUGAAGUUCCUCCACUCAUCCCAGGACCCCCCCCCCAUUAUGAAUUAGCAUCCACUAUCAGAGAAAACAUUCAGCCCCUGGUUGUUUGGGAUUGGCUUAUUUUGCUUCAUGAUAUUCUCCAAAUCCAUCCAUUUACCUGCAAAUUAUUCUCUGUUGGAGCUGAGCAAUAUUCCUUGGUGUGUACGUACCUCUGUUUCUUCAUCCACUCCUCUAUUGGAGAACGGCUAGACAUUUCCAAGCCCCUGCAUCUUCCUAUUUCAGAGUCAUGUACUGCUAGGGACAUACAGUCUUUCCCAUUUCCCUUCUUAGUAUUUACUAGCACGAAACAAAACAGAACAAAUGAAUGCAUGAACUCCUGGUUUGCUGCUUGGAAAUGCAGAACCAACCAAUCGGCAACCUCCACAGCCCGCUGGGCGCCUGCCUGCAGCCUCCUCGUGCCUGGGCGCCUCUCUCCUGUGGUGCUGCCAGGCUACUACCCUCCGCACUCGCUCUACCUGCUGACACCUUUCUUGGGAAAGGGGUUUGAGUAAUAAUGUACCUGCUGGAUGUUUUGGUGGCUGGAAAAUGCCCUUUUCCCUUUGAGAAGAUACCCCCAUCAGCUGCUGAGAGCCAGACAGCCCUGG
RNAcentral lists this long non-coding RNA (926 nucleotides) under Marmota monax (woodchuck). The record is from RNAcentral. Lineage: Eukaryota; Metazoa; Chordata; Mammalia; Rodentia; Sciuridae.